CCUACGGGAGACAGCAGUGAGGAAUAUUGGUCAAUGGGCGAGAGCCUGAACCAGCCAAGUCGCGUGAGGGAAGACGGUCCUAUGGAUUGUAAACUUCUUUUGUCGGGGAGUAAAAAGUGGCACGUGUACCGUAUUGAGUGUACCAGGAGAAAAAGCAUCGGCUAACUCCGUGCCAGCAGCCGCGGUAAUACGGAGGAUCCGAGCGUUAUCCGGAUUUAUUGGGUUUAAAGGGAGCGUAGGUGGAUUGUUAAGUCAGUUGUGAAAGUUUGCGGCUCAACCGUAAAAUUGCAGUUGAAACUGGCAGUCUUGAGUACAGUAGAGGUGGGCGGAAUUCGUGGUGUAGCGGUGAAAUGCUUAGAUAUCACGAAGAACUCCGAUUGCGAAGGCAGCUCACUGGACUGCAACUGACACUGAGGCUCGAAAGUGUGGGUAUCAAACAGGAUUAGAUACCCCUGUAGUC
This 460-nucleotide ribosomal RNA is filed under the name uncultured bacterium. RNAcentral's name for it is "partial 16S ribosomal RNA". It matches the Rfam family "Bacterial small subunit ribosomal RNA", at positions 338 to 795 of the family's 1533-position model. The record is from RNAcentral.